AUUGAACGCUGGCGGCAGGCUUAACACAUGCAAGUCGAGCGGGGUGAUGGUGCUUGCACUAUCGCUUAGCGGCGGACGGGUGAGUAAUGCUUAGGAAUCUGCCUAUUAGUGGGGGACAACAUCUCGAAAGGGAUGCUAAUACCGCAUACGCCCUACGGGAGAAAGCAGGGGAUCACUUGUGACCUUGCGCUAAUAGAUGAGCCUAAGUCGGAUUAGCUAGUUGGUGGGGUAAAGGCCUACCAAGGCGACGAUCUGUAGCGGGUCUGAGAGGAUGAUCCGCCACACUGGGACUGAGACACGGCCCAGACUCCUACGGGAGGCAGCAGUGGGGAAUAUUGGACAAUGGGGGGAACCCUGAUCCAGCCAUGCCGCGUGUGUGAAGAAGGCCUUAUGGUUGUAAAGCACUUUAAGCGAGGAGGAGGCUCUUUUGGUUAAUACCCAAGAUGAGUGGACGUUACUCGCAGAAUAAGCACCGGCUAACUCUGUGCCAGCAGCCGCAGUAA
Molecule: ribosomal RNA, 503 nt
Filed under: uncultured bacterium
Lineage: Bacteria
Description: partial 16S ribosomal RNA
Rfam family: Bacterial small subunit ribosomal RNA
Source: RNAcentral